RNAcentral lists this ribosomal RNA (496 nucleotides) under uncultured bacterium. Its description in RNAcentral is "partial 16S ribosomal RNA". It matches the Rfam family "Bacterial small subunit ribosomal RNA", at positions 29 to 507 of the family's 1533-position model. The record is from RNAcentral.
AUGAACGCUGGCGGCGUGCCUAAUCCAUGCCAGUCGAGCGAACAGACGAGGAGCUUGCUCCUCUGACGUUAGCGGCGGACGGGUGAGUAACACGUGGAUAACCUACCUAUAAGACUGGGAUAACUUCGGGAAACCGGAGCUAAUACCGGAUAAUAUAUUGAACCGCAUGGUUCCAUAGUGAAAGACGGUUUUGCUGUCACUUAUAGAUGGAUCCGCGCCGCAUUAGCUAGUUGGUAAGGUAACGGCUUACCAAGGCAACGAUGCGUAGCCGACCUGAGAGGGUGAUCGGCCACACUGGAACUGAGACACGGUCCAGACUCCUACGGGAGGCAGCAGUAGGGAAUCUUCCGCAAUGGGCGAAAGCCUGACGGAGCAACGCCGCGUGAGUGAUGAAGGUCUUCGGAUCGUAAAACUCUGUUAUUAGGGAAGAACAAAUGUGUAAGUAACUAUGCACGUCUUGACGGUACCUAAUCAGAAAGCCACGGCUAACUACGUG